RNAcentral lists this ribosomal RNA (432 nucleotides) under uncultured bacterium. Its description in RNAcentral is "partial 16S ribosomal RNA". It matches the Rfam family "Bacterial small subunit ribosomal RNA", at positions 29 to 506 of the family's 1533-position model. The record is from RNAcentral.
AACGAACGCUGGCGGCAUGCCUAACACAUGCCAGUCGAACGAGACCUUCGGGUCUAGUGGCGCACGGGUGCGUAACGCGUGGGAACCUGCCCUUAGGUUCGGAAUAACUCCCCGAAAGGGGUGCUAAUACCGGAUAAUGUCUUCGGACCAAAGAUUUAUCGCCUUUGGAUGGGCCCGCGUUGGAUUAGCUAGUUGGUAGGGUAAAAGCCUACCAAGGCGACGAUCCAUAGCUGGUCUGAGAGGAUGAUCAGCCACACUGGGACUGAGACACGGCCCAGACUCCUACGGGAGGCAGCAGUGGGGAAUAUUGGACAAUGGGCGAAAGCCUGAUCCAGCAAUGCCGCGUGAGUGAAGAAGGCCUUAGGGUUGUAAAGCUCUUUUACCCGGGAUGAUAAUGACAGUACCGGGAGAAUAAGCUCCGGCUAACUCCGU